AUACGUAGGGGGCGAGCGUUGUCCGGAAUGACUGGGCGUAAAGGGCGUGUAGGCGGUUGAAUAAGUCUGGAGUGAAAGUCCCGGGUUCCAGUUGGGAACUGCUUUGGAUACUGUUCAACUUGAGUGCGGAAGAGGGAAGUGGAAUUCCCAGUGUAGCGGUGAAAUGCGUAGAGAUUGGGAGGAACACCAGUGGCGAAGGCGACUUACUGGGCCGUAACUGACGCUGAGGCGCGAAAGCGUGGGGAGCGAACAGGAUUAGAUACCCUGGUAGUCCACGCGGUAAACGAUGAAUGCUAGGUGUUGCGGGUAUCGACCCCUGCAGUGCCGGAGUAAACACAAUAAGCAUUCCGCCUGGGGAGUACGGCCGCAAGGUUGAAACUCAAAUGAAUUGACGGGG
Molecule: ribosomal RNA, 397 nt
Filed under: uncultured bacterium
Lineage: Bacteria
Description: partial 16S ribosomal RNA
Rfam family: Bacterial small subunit ribosomal RNA
Source: RNAcentral